AGUCGAGCGGUAGAGAGGUGCUUGCACCUCUUGAGAGCGGCGGACGGGUGAGUAAUACCUAGGAAUCUGCCUGGUAGUGGGGGAUAACGUUCGGAAACGGACGCUAAUACCGCAUACGUCCUACGGGAGAAAGCAGGGGACCUUCGGGCCUUGCGCUAUCAGAUGAGCCUAGGUCGGAUUAGCUAGUUGGUGAGGUAAUGGCUCACCAAGGCUACGAUCCGUAACUGGUCUGAGAGGAUGAUCAGUCACACUGGAACUGAGACACGGUCCAGACUCCUACGGGAGGCAGCAGUGGGGAAUAUUGGACAAUGGGCGAAAGCCUGAUCCAGCCAUGCCGCGUGUGUGAAGAAGGUCUUCGGAUUGUAAAGCACUUUAAGUUGGGAGGAAGGGCAUUAACCUAAUACGUUAGUGCUUUGACGUUACCGACAGAAUAAGCACCGGCUAACUCUGUGCCAGCAGCCGCGGUAAUACAGAGGGUGCAAGCGUUAAUCGGAAUUACUGGGCGUAAAGCGCGCGUAGGUGGUUUGUUAAGUUGAAUGUGAAAUCCCCGGGCUCAACCUGGGAACUGCAUCCAAAACUGGCAAGCUAGAGUAUGGUAGAGGGGUGGUGGAAUUUCCUGUGUAGCGGUGAAAUGCGUAGAUAUAGGAAGGAACACCAGUGGCGAAGGCGACCACCUGGACUGAUACUGACACUGAG
This 696-nucleotide ribosomal RNA is filed under the name uncultured bacterium. RNAcentral describes it as "bacterial SSU rRNA". It matches the Rfam family "Bacterial small subunit ribosomal RNA", at positions 60 to 750 of the family's 1533-position model. The record is from RNAcentral.